RNAcentral lists this ribosomal RNA (319 nucleotides) under uncultured bacterium. Its description in RNAcentral is "bacterial SSU rRNA". It matches the Rfam family "Bacterial small subunit ribosomal RNA", at positions 27 to 337 of the family's 1533-position model. The record is from RNAcentral.
GAACGAACGCUGGCGGCGCGCCUAAUACAUGCAAGUCGAGCGAGAAGACGUAGCAAUACGUUUGUAAAGCGGCGAACGGGUGAGGAAUACAUGGGUAACCUACCCUCGAGUGGGGAAUAACUAGCCGAAAGGUUAGCUAAUACCGCGUACGCUCCUUGGACUUCGGUUCAGGGAGGAAAGCGAUACCGUGGGUAUCGCGCUCUUGGAUGGGGCUCAUGUCCUAUCAGCUUGUUGGUGAGGAACGGCUCACCAAGGCUUCGACGGGUAGCUGGUCUGAGAGGACGAUCAGCCACACUGGCACUGCGACACGGGCCAGACU